AGCUCAGUGGCACAGAGCGUACCUGGCAAACACGAUGUCAUAAGUUCAAUUUCCGGCACCAAAAUAAAUAAAAGAUUAUAUAAACAAACACCAACUCUAACAUCUUGGAAGGAAGGAUGUUGUUCCAAGCAACAGGCAGCAAGUUCUAAGAGAGACAGCUGGAAAAAUAUUUAAAAGAUCAUGGAUUGCUGGAAACAAGUUUUUCUAGUGAGGAAUCUUCUCAGUGAAGGACCACCCACACUUUCAUCUCUAAGAAAAUUGAGUAUCAGUAUUACAGAGGCAGAGUUACCCUACAGCUAUACAAGAUCUGGGCAAACAUAUUUUUUGUGUGGACCAUGUUCAUGUAAAGAAUUUAAGUGACUCAAAUCUGGCAUGUCAGAACCAUCCUAGACGUCCAAUCUCACAUGAUCUUCAAAAGAAACAGCCGUGGGAGCAGUCCACUGGCCAGGCUCUUGGAAGCAGCUCAUCCCCACGGAACAGGGUCUGGGAUGAUCUGGUAUACCUGAGUCUUGAGCAUUUAGAGGUAUCUGGUUAUGCUUCUGUGUGAGAGAGAAUAUUAAAGAGGGAAGAAACAGAGAUUCUGUUCUGGGCUUAUGGUGCCACAAUCACAGAGCACAGCUUCACUUGAUCACAAGCACUGAAGGAGACCGAAAACUCAGAGAAAGCCAAACCCAAGCAUGGGCCUCAGUUGUGGACAUCAAAGUGAGGUCCUAUGCUAACUGUCACAGGGCCUAGUUAAAUAAAUGCAUGUACAUCCAUGUACAUAAAUACAUGUGCACCCAUGCGGACGGACAAGCAAAGAGGGACUGGCAGCAAGAUGACAGAUCUUAGUUUAGAAGAGACUCCUUUGUUUUUUCACCCCACUAAUAUUUCUCAGAUGCCCUGUGUCAGGCCAUAUAGUAAAUACUUAGAAGAGCAGCAGUGAAUAAAUGUGUCCUCCAGAUGACCCCUCUACUGCAGGAUUUCUCAAGCGUAACUCUUAAUCAGAAUCGUUUUGGGACUCUUUUUUAAAAUAUUUGCUCCCAAGCCCAGUCUAAAACAAUUCAUUCACAUUUUGGAUGCAGAAGCUAAGGCAUCAGAAUGCUUUGAAGUUACCCUGGUGAUGCUAAUGUUCAGCCAGUCUUGACAAGUAUUGGUCCAGUAGUGAGAAAUGGCACUAACGGGAUGUAUUCCCUCUCCUACUGCUGCUUCCAUAGCCUCUGGCUUAAUCCAGCAUGUUCUGAAUCCUUGUAAGAGUGUGAGCAUUCUGUUGUAGGGCUGUUUGCUUGCUCAGUCCUUUCUGCCCCAGGAGUGUACAAGGGCUCUUCUGCUCCAUUAAUGAAACCAUCUAAUUAGAGGACAGUUUCCCCACUGUGGCAGGCCAAGCUCCACAUGACCAUGGAGCCUUGAAGAUGUCACUCCUUUGAUGAUUCUUUCUUGGCUAAGAGCUUAACACCAGGCUGACUGUAAACUCCACAAGUUAGCUUCUCAAACCAAGCACACAGAGAACUUUUUGGAUCACAAUAGCUCACCUGUAACAGUUAUGCAACCAAAUGUCUGUCACUCGUUGCUAGACGAUUCAAGUGCACUGUAUUAUCUUCUGUCAACCUUUGGAAUUUAGGCACAUAAGUGUUUUUAAAAUACAAAAUAUUUGCUUAAUUCUAAACUCAAAAUGAAUUUUUAAAAGUUUGUUUAAAAUGAAAUUCAAAAAGAAAAUGUUUAUUUUUACUUAAAAGUUUUACAGUUUUUCUUAUGUAUGUAACUGUACCCUACAAUUCUAAUAUCUUAAAUAAUAAUAAAGAUAAUGAUAAAUAUCCUUCAGUCAUAAAGAGGGGUAAAUUUAUAGGAAAAUGAAUGCAUUUUGAAACCAUAAUCCUAAGUUAAAUUAAUCAGACAUAAAAGGUUAAAUAUCUCAGGUUUCUCUUAUAUGAGAAACAACCAAAAUAAAUAAUUUAAAGAGCAAAGUAAGAGAGAGGGCUGAGAAUAUAGCUCAGUGGUAGAGCCCCUGCCUAACUGCUGAGGCCCUGGGUUCAAUCCCCAGUAUCAAAAAGGAGAAAAGAUAAAAGAUGAUGGGAAACAGGACGAUAGACUGAGGAGAUAGGAAGGAAAAAAUAGGUAGAUAUAAUAGGUAGGUAUGUAGACAGAUGAUAGAUAGAUAGAUAGAUAGAUAGACAGACAGACAGAAAGAAAGCAGUAUUUCUUCCCUAAGCCAGGUACAGAAAGACAAAUACUACAUGUUCUUAUUUACAUGGAAGCUACAAAAAUUUGACUUUAUUGGAGCAGAGAAGAUAAUGGUCACAAGAGACUAGGAAGGGUCAUGAGGACAGAGAUGGAGGGAGACUGAAUAGAAGGUACCAAAAUACAGUUAGACAGGUGGGAUAACUGCUAGUGCUCUGCAGUGUAGAAGGGAGGCUACAAGCGUUAUCUAUUUUUAUAGAACCAGAAGAGAAGUUCCUAACACAAAGAAAUAAUAAUUGUUUAAGGACAUAGAAAUGCUAAUUGCCCUGAUUUGAUCAUUAUGCGA
RNAcentral lists this long non-coding RNA (2503 nucleotides) under Chinchilla lanigera (long-tailed chinchilla). Its description in RNAcentral is "lncRNA (ENSCLAG00000024362.1)". The stretch from base 1959 to 2025 matches the Rfam family "tRNA". The record is from RNAcentral. Lineage: Eukaryota; Metazoa; Chordata; Mammalia; Rodentia; Chinchillidae.